AACGAACGCUGGCGGCAUGCCUAACACAUGCAAGUCGAACGAUGCCUUCGGGCAUAGUGGCGCACGGGUGCGUAACGCGUGGGAAUCUGCCGUUGGCUUCGGAAUAACAGUUAGAAAUGACUGCUAAUACCGGAUGAUGUCCCCCUGAGAGAUCUUGGGCACCAAAGAUUUAUCGGCCAGGGAUGAGCCCGCGUAGGAUUAGGUAGUUGGUGGGGUAAAGGCCUACCAAGCCGACGAUCCUUAGCUGGUCUGAGAGGAUGAUCAGCCACACUGGGACUGAGACACGGCCCAGACUCCUACGGGAGGCAGCAGUGGGGAAUAUUGGAAAAUGGGGGGAAUCCUGAUCCAGCAAUGCCGCGUGAGUGAUGAAGGCCUUAGGGUUGUAAAGCUCUUUUACCAGGGAUGAUAAUGACAGUACCUGGAGAAUAAGCUCCGGCUAACUCCGUG
Molecule: ribosomal RNA, 447 nt
Filed under: uncultured bacterium
Lineage: Bacteria
Description: partial 16S ribosomal RNA
Rfam family: Bacterial small subunit ribosomal RNA
Source: RNAcentral